GCGAAAACUUUACAAUGCUGGCAACAGCGAUAAGGGAACCUCGAGUGCCAGGUUACAAAUCUGGCUGUCGAGAUGCCUAAAAAGCAUUUCAUAGCAAGGGCCGGGCAAGACCGGUGCCAGCCGCCGCGGUAACACCGGCGGCUCGAGUGGUGACCGUUAUUAUUGGGUCUAAAGGGUCUGUAGCCGGCCGGAUAAGUCUCUUGAGAAAUCUGGCAGCUUAACUGUCAGGCUUUCAGGAGAUACUGUCUGGCUCGAGGCCGGGAGAGGUGAGAGGUACUUCAGGGGUAGGGGUGAAAUCUUGUAAUCCUUGAAGGACCACCAGUGGCGAAGGCGUCUCACCAGAACGGACCUGACGGCAAGGGACGAAAGCUAGGGGCACGAACG
This 384-nucleotide ribosomal RNA is filed under the name uncultured prokaryote. RNAcentral describes it as "bacterial SSU rRNA". It matches the Rfam family "Archaeal small subunit ribosomal RNA", at positions 341 to 725 of the family's 1478-position model. The record is from RNAcentral.